UACGUAGGGUGCGAGCGUUGUCCGGAAUUAUUGGGCGUAAAGAGCUCGUAGGCGGUUUGUCACGUCUGCUGUGAAAUCCCGAGGCUCAACCUCGGGCCUGCAGUGGGUACGGGCAGACUGGAGUGCGGUAGGGGAGAAUGGAAUUCCUGGUGUAGCGGUGAAAUGCGCAGAUAUCAGGAGGAACACCGGUGGCGAAGGCGGGUCUCUGGGCCGAUACUGACGCUGAGGAGCGAAAGCGUGGGGAGCGAACGGG
This 253-nucleotide ribosomal RNA is filed under the name uncultured bacterium. Its description in RNAcentral is "partial 16S ribosomal RNA". It matches the Rfam family "Bacterial small subunit ribosomal RNA", at positions 524 to 776 of the family's 1533-position model. The record is from RNAcentral.